AACGAACGCUGGCGGCAUGCCUAACACAUGCAAGUCGAACGAGACCUUCGGGUCUAGUGGCGCACGGGUGCGUAACGCGUGGGAACCUGCCCUUAGGUUCGGAAUAACUCCCCGAAAGGGGUGCUAAUACCGGAUAAUGUCUUCGGACCAAAGAUUUAUCGCCUUUGGAUGGGCCCGCGUUGGAUUAGCUAGUUGGUAGGGUAAAAGCCUACCAAGGCGACGAUCCAUAGCUGGUCUGAGAGGAUGAUCAGCCACACUGGGACUGAGACACGGCCCAGGCUGGAGGGAGAGGAAGGGGGGGGAAAGAGUGAAGAAGGGGCAAAAGCGAGGUGGACGGAGGGGGGGGGAGGGAGGAAGGCGUUAGGGUGGUAAAGUCCUGGUAUGUGGGAAGAAAAUGACAGGGCGAGGAGAAUAAGCCCCGGCCAACGCCGUGCCAGCAGCCGCGGUAAUAAUCAGAAAAGCACACGUAGGAAC
Molecule: ribosomal RNA, 474 nt
Filed under: uncultured bacterium
Lineage: Bacteria
Description: partial 16S ribosomal RNA
Rfam family: Bacterial small subunit ribosomal RNA
Source: RNAcentral